UAUUUUGAGAGUUUGAUCCUGGCUCAGGAUGAACGCUGGCGGCGUGGAUAAGGCAUGCAAGUCAAGGGGGUUUCGCAGCAAUGCGAAACAACCGGCGAACGAGUUAGUAACACCUUGGUACGUACCCCGAAGUCUGGCAUAGCUCACCGAAAGGUGGGGUAAUUCCAGAUAAUAAAGUAAUUUCAAAGUCGCAAGACGCUUCGGGAGCGGCCUAGGUCCUAUCAGCUUGUUGGUGAGGUAAUGGCUCACCAAGGCUAUGACGGGUAGGGGGCGUGAGAGCGCGGCCCCCAACGAGGGAACUGAGACACGGUCCUUACAUCUACGGAUGGCUGCAGUCGAGAAUAUUCGACAAUGGGCGAAAGCCUGAUCGAGCGACGCCGCGUGCAGGAAGAAGGGCUUCGGCCUGUAAACUGCUUUUGCGUGGGAAGAAUCCGGCUUAUGCCGGAGUGACGGUACCACGAGAAUAAGGGGCUGCUAACCUCGUGCCAGCAGCAGCGGUAAUACGAGGGCCCCAAGCGUUAUCCGGAGUUACUGGGCGUAAAGAGCGAGCAGCCGGUGCUGAUAGUCUGAUGUUAAAUCUCAGGGCUCAACCCUGAGGCCGCAUUGGAAACGUCAGUUGUGUUUCGCACAUAGUCGCUAAUUUUCUUGAAAUAUUUAUUCGCGAACAUUCGUGAAUAAAUUCUAGAUUGAUUAGUGAUUUUGUGCGGAGCGCUAUUACUGGAGCAGGUCAGAGGCAAACGGAACGUGUGGUGUAGGGGUGAAAUCCGUUGAUAUCACACGGAACACCAAAAGCGAAAGCAGUUUGCUGGGACUUUGCUGACGGUCAUUCGCGAAAGCGUGGGGAUCAAAAAGGAUUAGAUACCCUUGUAGUCCACGCCCUAAACGUUGCAGACUAGCUAUCGGGGGCAUCGACCCUCCCGGUGGCGUAGCUAACGCGUUAAGUCUGUCGCCUGGGAAGUACGAUCGCA
This 968-nucleotide ribosomal RNA is filed under the name bacterium. RNAcentral describes it as "bacterial SSU rRNA". It matches the Rfam family "Bacterial small subunit ribosomal RNA", at positions 1 to 890 of the family's 1533-position model. The record is from RNAcentral.